This 104-nucleotide microRNA precursor is filed under the name Eucalyptus grandis. Lineage: Eukaryota; Viridiplantae; Streptophyta; Magnoliopsida; Myrtales; Myrtaceae. The record is from RNAcentral.
GUUGGUGCGAGGUGUUGUCUCGGUUCAACCUCAACACGACAUCAAUUAACGAAGGGUUUGAUUUUAGGGUUUGGUUGAGCCGCGUCAAUAUCCCAUGCCAUGAA